CCUGGCUCGAGGACGACGCUGGCGGCGUGCCUAACACAUGCAAGUCGAACGGAGCACUUCGGUGCUUAGUGGCGAACGGGUGAGUAACGCGUGAAGAACCUGCCUUUCAGUGGGGGACAACAGUUGGAAACGACUGCUAAUACCGCAUAAUGUUAUUUGGGGGCAUCCUUGAAUAACCAAAGAUUUAUUGCUGAAAGAUGGCUUCGCGUCUGAUUAGCUAGAUGGCGGGGUAACGGCCCACCAUGGUGACGACCAGUAGCCGGUCUGAGAGGAUGAACGGCCACAUUGGGACUGAGAUACGGUCCAGACUCCUACGGGAGGCAGCAGUGGGGAAUAUUGGGCAAUGGGCGAAAGCCUGACCCAGCGACGCCGCGUGAGGGAAGAAGGUCUUCGGAUUGUAAACCUUUGUUGACAGGGAAGAAGAAAGUGACGGUACCUGUAAAGAAAGCCACGGCUAACUACGUG
RNAcentral lists this ribosomal RNA (465 nucleotides) under uncultured bacterium. RNAcentral's name for it is "bacterial SSU rRNA". It matches the Rfam family "Bacterial small subunit ribosomal RNA", at positions 18 to 507 of the family's 1533-position model. The record is from RNAcentral.